RNAcentral lists this long non-coding RNA (2085 nucleotides) under Homo sapiens (human). RNAcentral describes it as "HSALNT0408955". The record is from RNAcentral. Lineage: Eukaryota; Metazoa; Chordata; Mammalia; Primates; Hominidae.
AUUCUCUGGUGUUCUGGUUCAGUCUGAGUUUUAGGCAGGCUCGGUGUCUCCCUUGAUCUUACAGUAGGGCAUUAUUGAUCCUGUUCCUUCCACAGCAGUAGACUCUAUUUUUCUUGGCCAUGAAUGUGUUUCUGCCCUUUCCCUAGGGGGAAGAGGGGAAGAUAAUUCAUAUGGAGCAUCACACCAGCUAUCUCCUGCUCCCUGUCCUGCACUGCAAAGGAGGCCUUUUCAUCCUCUCUACUGCCUCCAAUUUUUCUCACGAGGAAUGUGAGAGGAAAACCUAGAGCUUGUUCCUGAAGCAUGGUGCUAAGUCCAUAUGCAGCAGAUGGAGCUCAUGAGAAAAGAGUUGCUCUUGUGAAGACCAAAGCUUGGUGAGGUGUCAGAUCCCCGGCGAUGGAAAGCAGUCAACUCAUGGGUAGUAAAAAGAAUGUAUUGACAACACUAUAGGUUUGAAAAGGAAAGUUUUAUUAGAUGGAAAGAACAGUGCAGAAGACCGCAGCAGAGGACCUCAGCAAGAGAGAACUAAAAAUGGUCAAUUACAAAGCACAACAUAAGACUGGAACAUUGGAGUUAAGUAGCAGAGAUCAAAAGAGGAGAUUGCAGAUGGAGGUGUUGUAUGUGACUGUUUUACAUGGAUUCUUCGCUCUGGUAGCAGAUGUUGAAGAAGCUCUAUGAAUGUCCUGUCUCUAUGUCCCAGUUUGUCAGUUUCAAAUACUCAUGUAUCUGAUUGUCAAUGCUGGAGAGCUGGGGCCAGGGCAGUAGUUGAUGAAUAUCACCUGACUGUCUCCUGCAGAAAAAGCAUUCCCAGAAGCACGGAGAAGUGAGGAGAAAAGGCAAUGCACCUGGAGCUGGAGACCAAGGCCCUGUUCUUACUGAUGGCCCUUGGAGCAGAUAUUUGAAUUGGAGAGAUAAAACCGUGGUUUUUGGGGUGUUAAUUUUGGUGGCUGAUGCAUUCUGUGAUUGAUUUGGCUAUUACAACUGGUAUUGAUUUUAAACACAUUAAUUGCAAAAUCUCAAUUGUGAUUUGAUUUCUGUAUUUACAAUACUAAAAACGAGGCUUUCGCCAGGAGAAGACAAUUGGCAGUACUCAGUUGGAAGUGCUUAAUUGUUAAUAUAUAUCAGCCGUGGUUCUUCAGCGUCGUCAGUGUUGCUCAGUCUUGCUCUUUGUGGCGACUACUGAAUGCUUGAAAAAUUCUCUCCUAUACUCCCACUCUGCACUGUAGAAGAGAAAGAGAGGAGAGUGGAAGAAAAAAGAGAGGGAGAGGAGAAAGAAAGAGAGGAGAGAGAAACAUGGGCAUGGAUGAUACAUAAGAUAAUUCCAGAAGAUUUCAGCAUAGCAGAUAAAAUACAGCAAAUCCUAACCAGCACAGGUUUGAGUGACAAACGGGCCGGUUCCAUGGACACAGGUGACUUCAUCAGAUUCAUGAAUUAUCAGGAAAGGAGAGGACCUCUAAUUACACUUUGAGAAGAUGCUUCUAUCCCUCAUUACGCUUUGAAAUUGAAGAAUUUAGAUAUAUUUAAGUCUAUUUCACUCUUUUUAACUGAUAGAUGAAUAAACUGUUCUCUUUAUCAAUGAUCCCUCUUGGAGACCAUUUGGUAUUUCUGCUUUUUGGUUAUUAAUAACAAUGCUUCAAUAAAUGCCUUUGCACAUGUCUCCUUGUAAACAUAUGUAAGGAUUUCCCUGAUGCAGCUAAAACCUAGAAGUAGUUUUAUUGGGGAGAAAGGUUUUACAUUUAUAUUAUCAACAUUUUAAGGUACUACCCAUUUGCUAUUCAGACUGGUUUGAUUGGUUUACACUUCUGCCUAUAAUAAAUGUUUAUUAUUUAUUAUUUAUGAUUACUGUUUAUCCAUCUACUGGCUGGCAUGUGAUGUCAUCACACAAUUUCUGCAAACACAAUGGAUGUGAAAUUGUAUCUGAGUUGCUUAAUUUGUGUUUUCCUGACUACUAGUAAUGUUGAGCAUCUUUUACGUUUUUUAUGUACUUUAUUUUUUACAUUAAAUAAAUUUUGACAAAGAAUUUGUGUCCGAAUGCUAAGUGUUAGAAAAUGAAUUAAGUAUUGGGAAUAAAAAAAAUCAAGAAAAUGG